Long non-coding RNA from Oreochromis aureus, 688 nucleotides. The record is from Ensembl. NCBI's taxonomy places the organism in Eukaryota, Metazoa, Chordata, Actinopteri, Cichliformes, Cichlidae.
CUCAGAUUAACAGACUUUUCUAUUUCUGAUUAAUUACCGUCACACAUACCACAUCGGUGAUUUAGUUACCUGAUGGUGGGGUUACAGGAGUGGUAUUAUUGGAAGCACUGGGAUUGCUGAGACUCAGUUGUGUUGCAUAAAUGCAUAAAAAGUAUUUUUUUUAAUCUAAAGAAAACAUUCACAAUGUUCUGUAUGAUACUUAGAUGUAUAGCCUGUCCUACCUGUGGUCAUGGUACAUGGUGAGUUCACUUUGGUUGUUGGUGAUUCUUUCUCCAAAAUAUCUAGAAUUAAAAAAACAAAUGGGUAUUUAAGGAGCAGCGUGACAGCUCUCGGGUGUCGGAUUGUUGUCUCGGCCUUGAGUGGUAAAUCAUCAACCGGCUUCUAUGUACUACUUUGAUUUGCACGACAUUCACGGAUUGUCGUCUCUUCUGCUUCCUGACAGUUUGCGACCCUCACUGCCCAGCCAUUCUCAGUCUGGAGCUAUCCUGCCUAACUCUCCAUGCUACCUCCCUGCUCACCUGCGCUACCUGGGGUCCACGUUGUCCCCACUUCAAUCUCCAGCCUUAAGUACCUCUCCCAAGCGUCUAGUAAAUGUGUGGCAAAUCCAGGCAGAGAGCAAAGGAUGAAAACAUAUUCCCCAUGAUAAUGGUGAACACUCAUCUCUGGUUUCUGACCUGCAUGAAGAUCA